GACAGAGGGGCGUAGAUAAGAGCCAAGGAGUGAGUGGCGGAUGCUGAUCCCACAAGGGAAUGGACAUUUACAAUUCAUUCUUUAAGAUAAGAGGAUAUUUUUUGAAACCAUUUCUUUCGAGAUGCGAAGAAUAUUCCUAGUCUGUCUAACUUUUGUAAUAGUUACCGCGGAGUGGGUCCUUCAAACAUUCUCUAUUAAUAUUCCUCGGCCGAUAAAUGGAAAGCAAGAAUGAGAGCAGGACGAAUCCGCUCUUACUGGUCUCAUAUCCCCACUUCCUCAAUCUCUGUAACCCGACCAUGCCCUAGCUCAAGUUAGCUUGAAGCGAAGGAAGACGGGGAAUUUUAGAAAUCUAAACAAGACGGCGUACGGGUAGGUGAGCUGUAGUAGGUUCAAAGAAAGAAGUCUGAGUCCGCAGUAAGCGCUGGUUUGGCCUUUUGCCGGGUAACUUUUAUAUUAUUAGCUUCCUUUUGCGGGUAUUCAUUCCUCUUCUGGUUGAAGUUCCUUGUCUGAAAGCCCUACCCAGUGAAAAAAAAAUUACACAUUAAAUCGGGCAAGGAUCACUCUACAGGUAGGCCUGUUUCAGCCGAAGUAGGUUCAAAGUCGGCAGAGAAAGAAAUCGUUCCAACUAGGCCAGCAUAGACGGAAUUGGAGCUAGCCUUUUCAGAGGCCGGUUUCAUUCUUUCAUCGUGGGUAGACGGUCGCCGGGUAUGAGCCCCCUGGUGGGGAUGCGGCUUCUCUCGUUUCAGCAUCUCGAUCCGCAAAAGGAGUAGUUGAAAAGUCCGGUGACUAAGCUUUUCUUUGAAGGCCGGUUGAUGCCGGGCGAAGUUAGCCUUACCAAUUGGCCGAUAACGAGUUAUUAAUAGCAAGCACAUAAGCCGGAAAGCAGCUAGCCACCUCUUCAAGUGGCACAUAUUCUAUACCCGAUUCUGCGUAGUUCAGUAGAAGAUAUCCCCUUUUCACCGCCUUCUGAUUCACCGAUCGCAAGUCACCACGCGCAAGCCGUGAAGUCGGAAUAAAUGGUUCCUUAGUAAGCCAAGUCAUCGAAGUCGGUUCGUGGUAAGCUCCUUGCUUCAGAGUCGUAGGUUAGGGAAAGCGGUUGAUCGGCCGGUGCAUCGAAAUAAGGGCAGGUUGCUCGCGAAGGAAGGGAGGAGUCUUUGCAGCAAGACUUUAGUCAAGGAAAAGACUCCUUCCUCCUUCGUUCACGACUCCGGUGAUAUUUUUCGACUGCCUCCACAAUAAGA
RNAcentral lists this unclassified non-coding RNA (1241 nucleotides) under Hevea brasiliensis (rubber tree). The record is from RNAcentral. Lineage: Eukaryota; Viridiplantae; Streptophyta; Magnoliopsida; Malpighiales; Euphorbiaceae.